UACCACGUUCGACGAUCGUCAAGCAAACGUUUCCCUUUGCCUUUUGUUGCGUCAGAUGAACCUAUCUUGGGCUUAGGUACCUAUACAGCGGAGAGACAUUGGUAAAUUUUUACAGAUAUUGGUCAUAGCUACACUAUAAGAUAUGACUAUUCAGCAGUACCAGUUCAAAAAGGAUAUUAUGAAUGAAUUAAUUGUGAAGAAGAUGUCAAAGAGGACUUUGCGGCGGAAAACGAGUCACGGUUUAGGCCCAAGUCGUUGGCAAAGUAGGCCUGAGCGAAACAUGGCCUUCUUAUAUUCUGAUCUCCGAUCAAAUAACAACGUAUCUGCCCAUAUGGACUAUUCCAGAGAGGUUUCGUUAGUUACUGGACAUUCUUGCUAUCUUGUUGCUGCAUUUGAUGAUAUGUGUUUCGAAGACCGUUCGCAGAUUUGUCAUCAACGAAGACAGAAUGGCAAUAGGCCAGCAUUGCAUCAUCGUAGACAGAGUUUACUCGCCGCGAGGCCACGAAUCGCUGCGCCAAAUAACACAACGCAGUUUAUUAUGGACGAUUUUGAAUCAAGCAUAUCAUGAAAACUUGGUCAGAGUGGCAAGUUCCAUUGGGAUACCCAUCUCUGAUCAGUUCAAGCUUCAUGAUUAAAGGAUAAAAAUCUUGGACAAACAAGAACCAGUCUGCAGAAUUGGAAUGGAGGUGCUUCACAUUUAUGGAGAGAACCUGUGGUACCAUAACAGUCUGCAGGACUUGUAUUUGCAAGUGAUAGGUGUUGCUUCUAUGAUAGAUGAACAGCAAACUGCUGAAAUACACUCCCCUCACAAAAGUACCCUGACAGUUCGAAGAUCGAUUGCGCUUUCAGACAAGAAUGAAUUUAGGCUGGGGAUAGCAACUUAGUGAUAAUAAUUUUUGAGAAACCCUUCCAAAAUAAACCAGAACAUUAAAAUGCUGCAAAACUUCUGUGCUUUUUAUCAGUUAAUCAUUUUUUGUUAAAAUGAGUAACCUUUGCACUACAAGCCUUACGCCUAUCAACUGAUGUCAAAUAAGCAGAGAACAGGAAAGUCAAUUGACUUGGACUCAGUCAAAAUGAGCCAAUAAAACAAGGUAAUUUUUUAAAAAAUGGUUCUUGAGACACAAAUGUUUUUGAAUAAAGAGUAAUACAACAUGUCUACUCUCAGUUGGGAAAAAUGUUUGAAUGGAGAUGCCACCGAUCGAUUAUAAAACAUGGAUGACAUUUGGUGACAUUUCACCAGAUCAAAAACUUUCUUGCAAUGCAGACAUAUCAUUCAGUGCAGGGCCAUAAAGCCAUAUUAUUUCUUUACUGCUGAAAGUCUUGCUAAAAUCAGUCGGUACGAGAGUAUAUUCACAAUUCUUUAUCAUUUUCCUUGUAACAUUUUCCGACAGCUUUGAAAGUUCAAUUGUUUGUGAAAAUUUAAUGCAAUUUUGCUUAAUGAUGGAAACCAGUUGAGAUGCAAAUUUGGUUAGGACACAAAUUUGAGGAAAUUGAUAAAAACGUUUUCAUGAAAACUGACUUUGAAAUUUGUAAACAAAUUUCUCCAACAACAGAUUCGCAACUGAAUUCGUAACAGUCCAGAUACUUUUGUGAGGGGAGCGUAGAUCAUUUGUUUUAACAAUAAAGCUAACAAUGAUUCAAUUUUGAAACUUGUGUGGAUGAAAAGAAAAACUUAAAUGAAAAGAACAGAAA
RNA transcript from Rhopilema esculentum, 1692 nucleotides. RefSeq lists it as uncharacterized. Lineage: Eukaryota; Metazoa; Cnidaria; Scyphozoa; Rhizostomeae; Rhizostomatidae. The record is from RefSeq and is a predicted model, not a curated record.